GACGAACGCUGGCGGCGUGCUUAACACAUGCAAGUCGAGCGGUAAGGCCCUUUCGGGGGUACACGAGCGGCGAACGGGUGAGUAACACGUGGGUGACCUGCCCUCAGCUCUGGGAUAAGCCUGGGAAACCGGGUCUAAUACUGGAUAUGACUCCAUGACGCAUGUUGUGGGGUGGAAAGCCUUGUGCGGCUGAGGAUGGGCCCGCGGCCUAUCAGCUUGUUGGUGGGGUGAGGCCUACCAAGGCGACGACGGGUAGCCGGCCUGAGAGGGCGACCGGCCACACUGGGACUGAGACACGGCCCAGACUCCUACGGGAGGCAGCAGUGGGGAAUCUUGCGCAAUGGGCGAAAGCCUGACGCAGCGACGCCGCGUGAGGGAUGACGGCCUGGUGUAA
Molecule: ribosomal RNA, 394 nt
Filed under: uncultured bacterium
Lineage: Bacteria
Description: bacterial SSU rRNA
Rfam family: Bacterial small subunit ribosomal RNA
Source: RNAcentral